CUGCUGGUGAUUCAGUGGUUGAAUGCCCCCCAGAAAAGGAGCAACUGAUUACUGCCACAGGCUUGCACCAGUUGCACAUUCUGAUGUUCUUUUUGGCUGUGUUUCAUGUGGUAAAUAGUGGUCUUAUAAUGGUCCUUGGAAGAGCAAAGAUACACAGAUGGAAGGACUGGGAAAAGGAUACGACAUCGGCUGAGUAUGCCUUCACGACUGGUAUAUAUAUGUUCA
Long non-coding RNA from Zingiber officinale, 225 nucleotides. RefSeq lists it as uncharacterized. NCBI's taxonomy places the organism in Eukaryota, Viridiplantae, Streptophyta, Magnoliopsida, Zingiberales, Zingiberaceae. The transcript is spliced from 3 exons. The record is from RefSeq and is a predicted model, not a curated record.